UGAACGCUGGCGGCGUGCCUAAUACAUGCCAGUCGAGCGAACAGACGAGGAGCUUGCUCCUCUGACGUUAGCGGCGGACGGGUGAGUAACACGUGGAUAACCUACCUAUAAGACUGGGAUAACUUCGGGAAACCGGAGCUAAUACCGGAUAAUAUAUUGAACCGCAUGGUUCAAUAGUGAAAGACGGUUUUGCUGUCACUUAUAGAUGGAUCCGCGCCGCAUUAGCUAGUUGGUAAGGUAACGGCUUACCAAGGCAACGAUGCGUAGCCGACCUGAGAGGGUGAUCGGCCACACUGGAACUGAGACACGGUCCGGACUCCUACGGGAGGCAGCAGUAGGGAAUCUUCCGCAAUGGGCGAAAGCUUGACGGAGCAACGCCGCGUGAGUGAUGAAGGUCUUCGGAUCGUAAAACUCUGUUAUUAGGGAAGAACAAAUGUGUAAGUAACUAUGCACGUCUUGACGGUACCUAAUCAGAAAGCCACGGCUAACUACGUG
This 495-nucleotide ribosomal RNA is filed under the name uncultured bacterium. Its description in RNAcentral is "partial 16S ribosomal RNA". It matches the Rfam family "Bacterial small subunit ribosomal RNA", at positions 30 to 507 of the family's 1533-position model. The record is from RNAcentral.